CCUGCGGCGUUGUUUCGUGUGACGAAAUCAAGGGGCGGGGUUGUUUUUAUACAAAUUCCAUUAUUUUGGCGCUCCCAAAACGCUGGGACAGUCGGAAGAGUGCAGGUGGUGCGGAGAAGAAAGUUUAAAGAGUUAAGAGAGACUUGAAAAUGCUUUAAAAAGAUUGGAAAGAUCUAAUUCAGAACUAAUGCUUACAUAUCCCGAAGAGAAAAUGAAUCAUUGAAAGUUCAUAUGAAGGGAAAAGAAGAUGAUUGGUUUGGAUAGAAGAUGCCAACCACUCCUAUGAGACUCCAGUGGAGAAAGAGAGGCUGUGGUUCUUCAGCAGCUGAUGGAAAUUUAUGUGUACCAGAUACUGUGAUGAGGGCGUGGGAUACCAUGGUGACCUGAGUCCCUGCUCUUAUGAGUUUCCCUACCACAUAACCUCUCAGAACUGAACCAAAACAACAUUGUUCCUAGAGUGCUUAUUUUUAAGGUAGAACUUUAGACUUCAUAGCACUGAAUUAACCUGCACUGAAAGCUGUUUACCUGCAGUUGUUCACUUUUUUGAAAGUGACCAUGUCUCAAGUUCAAGUGCAAGUUCAGAACCCAUCUGCUGCUCUCUCAGGGAGCCAAAUACUGAACAAGAACCAGUCUCUUCUCUCACAGCCUUUGAUGAGUAUUCCUUCUACUACUAGCUCUCUGCCCUCUGAAAAUGCAGGUAGACCUAUCCAAAACUCUGCUUUACCCUCUGCAUCUAUUACAUCCACCAGUGCAGCUGCAGUUCCUUCUAAUAUGGCACACCCCAAAGAGAAAACCCCAAUGUGUCUUGUGAAUGAGUUAGCCCGUUUCAACAAGAUUCAGCCUGAGUAUAAGCUUUUGCGUGAGCAAGGUCCAGCUCACUGUAAGGUGUUUACAGUACAGCUAACACUUGGAGAUCAGCACUGGGAAGCUGAAGGAACUAGUAUUAAAAAAGCCCAACACACAGCUGCUGCCAAAGCUUUGGAAGGAACAAAAUUUCCUAAACCCAUAGUCCGCCCUUUUCGUAGCGAAGGAAGGAAUCCAGGUAUUAUGCGUGGGCCAAGACAGGUUCCUUUCAAAAGUGUGUCUAGAGAAAGCAUAACCCCUACUGUAGAACUAAAUGCACUGUGCAUGAAACUUGGAAAAAAACCAAUGUAUAAGCCUGUCGAUCCUUACUCUCGGAUGCAGUCCACCUAUAACUACAACAUGAGAGGAGGUGCUUAUCCCCCAAGGUACUUUUACCCAUUUCCAGUACCACCUUUACUUUAUCAAGUUGAGCUUUCUGUGGGAGGACAGCAAUUUAAUGGGAAAGGAAAGACGAGACAGGCUGCGAAACACGAUGCUGCUGCGAAAGCUUUGAGGAUCCUGCAGAAUGAGCCCCCACCUGAGAGGCUGGAGGUGAAUGGAAGAGAAUCAGAAGAAGAAAAUCUCAAUAAAUCUGAAAUAAGUCAAGUGUUUGAGAUUGCGCUUAAACGGAACUUGCCUGUGAAUUUUGAGUCUUUCCCUCUAAAACAGGUCGCCCGGGAGAGUGGCCCACCCCACAUGAAGAGCUUUGUGACCAGGGUGUCAGUUGGGGAGUUUGUAGGGGAAGGUGAAGGGAAGAGCAAGAAGAUUUCAAAGAAAAACGCUGCUAUAGCUGUUCUUGAGGAGCUGAAGAAGUUACCACCUCUGCCUACAGUGGAGCGAGUGAAGCCCAGAAUCAAAAAGAAAACAAAGUCUAUAGUCAGGUUACAGAGCACCCAGGAGUAUGGCCAGGGGAUGAACCCCAUUAGCAGACUGGCCCAGAUCCAGCAGGCGAAAAAGGAGAAGGAGCCGGAGUACCUGCUCCUCACCGAGCGAGGCCUCCCGCGCCGCCGGGAGUUUGUGAUGCAGGUGAAGGUGGGAAACCACACUGCAGAAGGAUCCGGCACCAAUAAGAAGGUGGCGAAACGCAAUGCAGCCGAGAACAUGCUGGAGAUCCUUGGUUUCAAAGUCCCACAGGCUCAGCCCACCAAACCAGCCCUCAAAUCCGAGGAGAAGACACCCAUAAAGAAACCAGGGGAUGGAAGAAAAGUAACCUUUUUUGAACCUGGCUCUGGGGAUGAAAACGGGACUAGCAAUAAAGAGGACGAGUUUAGGAUGCCUUAUCUUAGUCAUCAGCAGCUGCCUGCUGGAAUUCUUCCCAUGGUGCCUGAGGUUGCCCAGGCCGUAGGGGUCAGUCAAGGACAUCACACCAAAGACUUCACAAGGGUGGCUCCAAAUCCUGCCAAGGCCACGGUAACUGCCAUGAUAGCCCGUGAAUUGUUGUAUGGGGGCACCUCGCCUACAGCCGAGACCAUUUUAAAGAAUAACAUCUCUUCAGGCCACGUACCCCAUGGACCCCUCACGAGACCGUCCGAGCAGCUGGACUAUCUCUCCAGAGUCCAGGGAUUCCAGGUAACUGUGAGGCCUGAGUUGUGUCCUGUACCUCAGUGCAGUCAUCUCUGCUUCCUCGCAGAUCUGAGUACCUCGUUUGUGGUUUUGUUGUUGUUGUUAGGGCCGCACCCACGGCAUUUGGAAGUUCCUAGGCUAGGAGUCAAAUUGGAUCUACAUCUGUCGGCCUACACCACAGUGACAGCAAGGUGGGAUCCAAGCCGCAUCUGUGACCCACACCACAGCUCACGGCAAUGCAGGAUCCUUAACCCACUGAGCAAGGCCAGGGAUCGAAUCCACAACCUCGUGGAUGUUAGUCGGGUUUCUUUCCUCUGAGUCACGAUGGGAACUCCACCGCCUUUUUUUUUUUUUUUUUAAAUCAAAAUCUUUGUCCAGGGGGAUGGUUGGGGACGGUUGGUCAAGGGUGGUCCUGAGGUCAGGGAGGGGGGUGGUGCUGCUGUGGAAGGUAGUGGAAGCCUGGAUGGUAAGAGAAUCCUCAACCUUUGGUAGUAACAUUUUAACAAUCCAGACCAACCAUAUUAACAAAGCCUCUAAUUCGGUGGUAGUUACACAUUUAGACUUCAGUGAGCACAGACUCCUUGUGCUGGCCCUUUCUGCCUGGUAGGAAGGACAUGGCUUCUUCCAGAGGAAGGUUUUUAAGUAGAAUCUAGGUUCCUAGAAGAUUCUGCAAACUGGGGCCCUGGUAACCUGCCUUCAGCCCAGGUGCCUCUUGGCCCCUCCGACAGUCUCUAGUGCCUGUUGAGCCGGAGUUGGUGUAGCCAGGUCACUCCAGGGAGAGAGGAGUCUUGUCUGCUGGGCCCAGAGCCGAGGCCCUGUCCCGUUCCCCGCUUCCCUAGCCUUGCCUUGGUUUUCUUUUCCCCUUUAGGUUGAAUACAAAGACUUCCCCAAAAACAACAAGAACGAAUUUGUAUCUCUUAUCAACUGCUCCUCUCAGCCGCCCCUGAUCAGCCAUGGUAUUGGAAAGGAUGUGGAGUCCUGCCACGACAUGGUACGUUUCCCGCACGGUGCGCUGGCUCAGGCAAGGCCCUCUUCUAGACUCUGACAGUGGCUGGUCUCACAGAUUCCUUACGUCGGAAGCCUUUUUUCUUCGGUUACUGCCUUAACUUCUCACUCUUUAUCAGAACUCUCCUCCCUUCCCUUGCUGACCUGGCAGGGAGACUUGGAUCCUGGACCCUCUCCAGAUGCUGUAUUCAGUUCAUUUCUUAUUGAAACAAGGAGUAGCAGGGCCAAGUGUUGGCACCUUAAAAAGCCCCUUGUUUUGGUGUUCUGUUCAGAUGAAAUUAUUGUUGUAAGAAAUAUUACAAACCAAGGAAAGGAACUGAUUAAUUUACACAGACUGGCAUAUUCACCUGGUGGAGUAUAAUGCAUCCAUCACAUUAAUGUCACUGAAAGUAAUGCAUUCUAACAAGGAACCAUGGUAGGCUUUUUUAUUUUUUUAAAUUUAUUCUUUGACCACGUCCAUGGCAUGUAGAAAUGCCUGGGCCAGGGAUAGAACCCCAUCACGGCAGUGACCCAAGUCACUGCACUGACAGUGCCAGAUCCUUAACCUGCUGAGCUGCAAGGGAACUCUAUGAUAGACUGUAAUUUAAUUUUUGUCUUUUGUCUUUUUAGGGCCGCACCCACAGCUAUGGAGGUUCCCAGGCUAGGGGUCUAAUUGGAGCUACAGCUGCUGGCCUGCAGCAUGGCCAGAUCUGAGCCAUGUCUGUGACCUACACCACAGCUCCCAGCAACUCUGGAUCCUUAACCCACUGAGCAAGGCCAGGGAUUGAAUCCAAAACCUCAUGGUUCCUAGUCGGACUCGUUUCUGCUGUGCCAUGACAGGAAUUCCACAACCUCUGUUAUUUUAUAGCAGGAUAUGAACUUUGUACAGGCUGGUGACCACAAGAUUAAAAAUACUAGAAGGCAGUACGUAUACAACUAAGAGGUUGUGGUUCAGUGAGAUAACCAUGCGCAACUUUUUCUUUUUGGCCACACCCGUGGCGUGUUGAAGUUCCCAGGCCAGGGGCUGAACCUGAGCCACAGCUGUUCUCUGCACAGUUCUCUCCACUGCGCAGAGAGAACACCAGAUCCUUAACCCGCUGCACCAGUGGCUCCUGGAUAAUUUUUUUUUUUUUUUUACAUUUUUGGUUAAGAAGUUAAACAUGAGAAAGUGUUAUUUAGUGAGAACACCAGUUUUGUGGGGCAGUAGGAGAAUCCUUCGCCUCCUCAUUCAGCAUCUUUUGACCGUGGUCCUGAACAGUGCCGUGUUUUAACUUUUCUCUCCAUUCCUGCUAGGCUGCACUGAACAUUUUAAAGUUGCUGUCUGAGUUGGACCAACAAAAUACAGAGAUGCCAAGAACAGGAAAUGGACCAAUGUCUGUGUGUGGGAGGUGCUGAACCUUAUGGCCACAUGAACCGUUGAAAAAUCCCAACAUAUAUACUGAAAAUAUUGAAACUGCUUUGAAAAUUUGGAAUUUCUGAUACCUCCAGUGGGCCGAGAGACAUGAUGGUUAAAGGACUGGAGACAGCAGUGGUGACCAAGGCGGCAACAGGAGUAGCUGCUGCUGGGGGCGGGGCGGGGCGGGCCUGCCAGGCAGCCCUGGCGCCACUGGGAAACCAGCAGGUCCGUACCCCAGGCACCUCAGUGCUUGGUUUUAGUAGUUUUUUUUGGUUUUGGGGUUCUUUUUUUUCCUUGCUGUGUGAAAGAAGCAGAAAGCACGACUCCUCAACUGGCUCACUCAAACACUUUGGGACAAAUCCUGGACACCCACACUGGAGCGAGGCCUUAGUCUGAAAGCACCAGAGAAAAUCAGAUGCUUCCUCCUCAGCGCAAGUUGACCUUCUUGGCGUGCUCUGGCCCACCACCUCCCGCGGUACCCACACCGUUGCCACUGCUCUCUUCCAAAAGAGAUAUGUAUUCUUAGUUUCAUUACUUUCUUUUGAUUGAAAUGACACUAUAUAAAUUUUCAUUUGAGAGUUUCUCAAUUGUAUCUAGUUACAUAGCACAGUUUAGAAACUUGUCUGAGACUGACUUUAUCAGUAACAUAACCGGCAAAGAUCAUAUCCAUGUGUAUGUGGUUAUACGUUUUUACUUCAUUGGACCUGCCCAGGACCAUUUCAGUGAUGCAAAUUGUGUGGCCUCUGGUUUAGCUGAAACAGUCCUGGACUUCUCAGAACCCUUGGUGAAGUCUCCCACAGUUGUAUAAAUUGAACAGUUUAGGAAUUUUAAACUUUAAACGAUCAUCUGGUUCCUUUUCUAUUUUAUUUUUGUUUAUGCAGCAGGACAAACAAAUGAACUCUGAUCUUUGUUUCAAAGACUAUUAAAAAUUGUGUGUAUGUACAUGACUCUUGAGGACACAGAGCUUUCACUACACUACAGGAUAUGAUCUCAUGUAGCACAUAUACAACUGCAGAUUGAUCUUCCUUGAGUGCUUUACACUGUUGAUUACAUCUCCAUGUAGGGCUGAAAAGAAUGACCCAUGUUUAUCUCUAACUGUGUUGCUUUGGAUGUUGUGUUGCUGUGCACAGACACGUGUGCAGCGAGGUCCUGCAUAUGGUCCAGAUGAAGAGCACGGUAGCCUUGCGAGUUAAGUACUGCUUCCAUUUUUUCUCCCCAUGGAAUGUAAGUAAAACUUAAGUGUUUGUCACCAAUAAAUGGUAAUACUAAAUUUUUUUUGUUAAUUUAUUCUCCAAUGCCACUACUGCCAGGUUGGUCCCUCCCAACCUGUCCCCUUUUGUUAUUUUUAAGAAAAAACUUUGUAAUGCUUGUGAUUCCAUUUGGGCAAAACUCUGAAGCUCUGAAAUAACUUUAUAUCAAACCAUUGAUCAAUAAACAGCUACUAAUGAAUUUCA
Sus scrofa (pig) is the source of this 6240-nucleotide non-coding RNA. The record is from RefSeq and is a predicted model, not a curated record. Lineage: Eukaryota; Metazoa; Chordata; Mammalia; Artiodactyla; Suidae.